CUAAGUUUGAUGGCGACCGGCGCACGGGUGAGUAACACGUAUCCAACCUGCCGAUGACUCGGGGAUAGCCUUUCGAAAGAAAGAUUAAUACCCGAUGGGAUAAUUAUUCCGCAUGGUUUGAUUAUUAAAGGAUUCCGGUAAAGGAUGGGGAUGCGUUCCAUUAGGUUGUUGGUGAGGUAACGGCCCACCAAGACUACGAUGGAUAGGGGUUCUGAGAGGAAGGUCCCCCACAUUGGAACUGAGACACGGUCCAA
RNAcentral lists this ribosomal RNA (254 nucleotides) under uncultured bacterium. RNAcentral's name for it is "partial 16S ribosomal RNA". It matches the Rfam family "Bacterial small subunit ribosomal RNA", at positions 79 to 334 of the family's 1533-position model. The record is from RNAcentral.